RNAcentral lists this ribosomal RNA (912 nucleotides) under uncultured bacterium. RNAcentral describes it as "bacterial SSU rRNA". It matches the Rfam family "Bacterial small subunit ribosomal RNA", at positions 8 to 915 of the family's 1533-position model. The record is from RNAcentral.
AGAGUUUGAUCCUGGCUCAGGACGAACGCUGGCGGCGUGCCUAAUACAUGCAAGUAGAACGCUGAAAUAAGAGCUUGCUCUUAUGGAUGAGUUGCGAACGGGUGAGUAACACGUGGGGAACCUACCUUCUAGCGGGGGAUAACACAUAGAAAUGUGUGCUAAUACCGCAUAAUAGUAUUUGAUGCAUAUCAGAUACUUGAAAGGCGCAAUUGCGUCACUAGAAGAUGGCCCCGCGGUGCAUUAGCUAGUUGGUGAGGUAACGGCUCACCAAGGCAAUGAUGCAUAGCCGACCUGAGAGGGUGAUCGGCCACACUGGGACUGAGACACGGCCCAGACUCCCACGGGAGGCAGCAGUAGGGAAUCUUCGGCAAUGGACGCAAGUCUGACCGAGCAACGCCGCGUGAGUGAAGAAGGUUUUCGGAUCGUAAAACUCUGUUGUAAGAGAAGAACGUUGAUGAGAGUGGAAAGUUCAUCAAGUGACGGUAUCUUACCAGAAAGCCACGGCUAACUACGUGCCAGCAGCCGCGGUAAUACGUAGGUGGCAAGCGUUGUCCGGAUUUAUUGGGCGUAAAGCGAGCGCAGGCGGUUGAUCAAGUCUGAUGUGAAAGCCCCCGGCUCAACCGGGGAGGGUCAUUGGAAACUGGUCAACUUGAGUGCAGAAGAGGAGAGUGGAAUUCCAUGUGUAGCGGUGAAAUGCGUAGAUAUAUGGAGGAACACCAGUGGCGAAGGCGGCUCUCUGGUCUGUAACUGACGCUGAGGCUCGAAAGCGUGGGGAGCGAACAGGAUUAGAUACCCUGGUAGUCCACGCCGUAAACGAUGAGUGCUAAGUGUUGAGGGUUUCCGCCCUUCAGUGCUGCAGCUAACGCAUAGCACUCGCCUGGAGUACGACGCAAGUGAACUCAAGGAAUGACG